This 434-nucleotide ribosomal RNA is filed under the name uncultured Polaribacter sp. RNAcentral's name for it is "bacterial SSU rRNA". It matches the Rfam family "Bacterial small subunit ribosomal RNA", at positions 45 to 476 of the family's 1533-position model. Lineage: Bacteria; Pseudomonadati; Bacteroidota; Flavobacteriia; Flavobacteriales; Flavobacteriaceae. The record is from RNAcentral.
GGCUUAACACAUGCAAGUCGAGGGGUAACAUUGUGCUUGCACAGAUGACGACCGGCGCACGGGUGCGUAACGCGUAUAGAACCUACCUUUUACAGAGGAAUAGCCUUUAGAAAUGAAGAUUAAUACCUCAUGGUAUUGUAGACUGGCAUCAGUUUAUAAUUAAAGAUUUAUCGGUAAAAGAUGGCUAUGCGUCCUAUUAGUUAGUUGGUAAGGUAACGGCUUACCAAGACAGCGAUAGGUAGGGGUCCUGAGAGGGAGAUCCCCCACACUGGUACUGAGACACGGACCAGACUCCUACGGGAGGCAGCAGUGAGGAAUAUUGGACAAUGGAGGAGACUCUGAUCCAGCCAUGCCGCGUGUAGGAAGAAUGCCCUAUGGGUUGUAAACUACUUUUAUACAGGAAGAAACACUGGUAUGUAUACCAGCUUGACGGU